Molecule: ribosomal RNA, 253 nt
Filed under: uncultured bacterium
Lineage: Bacteria
Description: partial 16S ribosomal RNA
Rfam family: Bacterial small subunit ribosomal RNA
Source: RNAcentral
UACGGGGGGGGCAAGCGUUGUUCGGAAUUACUGGGCGUAAAGGGCUCGUAGGCGGCCAACUAAGUCAUACGUGAAAUCCCUCGGCUUAACCGGGGAACUGCGUCUGAUACUGGAUGGCUUGAGUUCGGGAGAGGGAUGCGGAAUUCCAGGUGUAGCGGUGAAAUGCGUAGAUAUCUGGAGGAACACCGGUGGCGAAGGCGGCAUCCUGGACCGAUGCUGACGCUGAGGAGCGAAAGCCAGGGGAGCAAACGGG